CGGUGGCGUACACGUCGGCUCCGAACUCCAUCAGCAGCUCGAUCAUGUCCUCCACGUCGACUCUCGCUGCGUGGUGCAGAGCUCUCUCGUGGAACUUAACGGAGUUCACGUUGGCGCCUGCAGGAAGUUAAGAUGAGCUCAGGCCUGAACUACAGUGACAUGUCAGUAUCU
Sebastes umbrosus (honeycomb rockfish) is the source of this 171-nucleotide long non-coding RNA. RefSeq lists it as uncharacterized. NCBI's taxonomy places the organism in Eukaryota, Metazoa, Chordata, Actinopteri, Perciformes, Sebastidae. The transcript has 3 exons. The record is from RefSeq and is a predicted model, not a curated record.